Molecule: non-coding RNA, 2804 nt
Organism: Peromyscus maniculatus bairdii (prairie deer mouse)
Lineage: Eukaryota; Metazoa; Chordata; Mammalia; Rodentia; Cricetidae
Source: RefSeq, a predicted model, not a curated record
CGCAGGGGUCCCGCCUUCUGCGGGUGAGGCUGCUCUGGGACAGCCCGGGUUCUGGGUGUGGCGAAGGGCGGCGGUCUGGGGAGGCGGCCCGGCACCUGCGAGAGCGCGAGGGGUGGGGACUGUGGUCUCAGAGUUAAUCAUGAGGUUUCAGAGAUGUUCUGUUCAGCUGCCUUCUACGGGGGACUUUCUGAUGUGCCUUGUCCCCGAAUCCCCCACCUCUAGACAGACGAGCUCCACCCCCAUCCCGGAGAUUCCCCCGAUCUCUGACCCUCUAGUGGGGGAUUUGGAACCGUAUACAGCGAGGGCCUCGGUGUCCACGCGCGUCUGUCUGUGGCGUGUGUGCACCCGCGUGUCUGGAAGGGGCUGCUGUGCCCCAGGAAGGGAGUGUGUGCGCCCUGUGUGUCUAAGUUGGUGCUGACUCCAUCAGAACUUCUGGCCCCUCCUCCUCUCUCCCUGAUUGCAUCAUUAGUGCUAAUUGAGGGGCUUUCACACGCCAGUGCAUUAGCUGUUUGGAGUGAGCUCCCCCCUCCUGCGAGAUAAGCCGCUGCCCCCUCCCCCUCGCAGCUCUCCACUUCCCCAGGGCCCUGAAACUGUCCACCGAGGUCCUCUCACCUCCUCGGGCUCCCUCCAGCUUGCCUCUGGACAGGAAAAUCUCUCUCUUCCGGCAGUGUCAUGGAUAGGCGGAGGACUCCGGGGUGGGGGUAAAGCUUAGGGGUGGGGGAGGAAUCUAGAACCAUCUUUCAGAGGAGCUUUCUAGGGAGAGGAGGUUUUCCCCUUAAGAGGUCUCACAUUCCUCUUGCAAGUAGGGAGGGAGGGUCUCUGCGAUUAAGAAAGGGAAUAGAAAUUUCUGACUGGUUCUUUUGAGCGUGGAAAGGGAGAGGGGCAAAUUUCUUAUGCCUAGCCUGUGAUUCUAUUGAGGUAGGCCUUCUGGCUUCGACUUUGUGGUCCCCCAAGACUCAGAAAGUGGGGGCCAAGCUGACUUAAUCGUCAUGGGAAAGGCAGGUUGAAGGAAGCCAUGAUUCCCCCUGAGAGAUUUGGGUCUGAUGGAGUCCGGUCUAUCGGUCUGUUCCUGUUUAAGCUGCUCCGCCCAGCUCUGGCCCAUAGCAGCCGGGAGUGUGUGUGUGUGUGUGGGGGGGGGGCUCUGAGCAGAUGCCCUCCCCAGCCCUCACACCAGAUGUCUUUGGUCUAAUUAACUGUGCUGAGAAAACCAACCUGGGUUUGUAAACAGAGCUACUGGCUAAAGUCAACACGGAACGGUAGCAAACAGUAAACAGUCCCCUUACACUCAGCCUCAAUCGCGACCAGCGGCCCCCCAGGGAAGACUGGGAGCCCGGUGGAUCAGAAUUCCCCUAUCUGCCUGGGUGACCCCAACUGACAUUCCCUUACCAGCCCCACAGUGUCUCCUCAAGAAGUGUGAGGACCAGCUACCAUCCCAAGAUAGCUGCCCGCUUCCUACUCGGCUGCACCCACUGCUCAGGAUGCCUUUGUGGUGAUCUCUCCUUCCCUCCACCUUCUGGCUUUCCAAGACUGUGCCCGCUGUGACCGGGACUCUCUCAGAUGGAGUGGCGAGCAGAGAGCCAGGGAGUUGGCCAUCCAUAAGUGGUGAUGAACAGACUGUGGCAGGAGCUGGUGAAACAGAGGCUUCCUUGUGGCUUACAACAGCCAGAUGAAGGAGAUCAGAGAAAGAGACCCCUAGGCCCGUGGGCUGUCAGGGAAGGCUUCUGGAAGGGGAAGGCCAUCUUGGACUUCAGAGGCAUUUGCUUGGCAGACCAGGCCAAGGAAGAAGAAAGAACAUACAUGUUCUCCUCAAGCCACAAAGAGCAUCCCUUUGCAGACUCCAGUCUGGCAGUAUGAUUUGGAGACCAUAGACAUCAUUCCGUGUCCCUUGGGGACUGGAGGUAGAGGGUCAACUCUGUCAGGAUCCCUAGAGACCCUGUGGAAGGGACAGGAUGACACUGAAAACUACUUCUGAGGACUCGCAACCCAGAGCUGGAUGACACUCUCUGGGAAGGAGAUGUCUAAAAGUUGCAAGGCUGAGAAUACGCUGAACACAUUCCGCCGCUUCUGGAAAGUUUCUGCUGUUACAGCGAUUUGCAAAUUUCUCCCAAGAUGAAAAUUCAAAACAAAGUGGGAAGUAAAUGGACCUUGUGAGCGAUGGCGCAGGAAGCUUUGUCAUUGGGGUGUUUAUGUGCACUGGGGCGGGGGGCGGGUGGAGGGUGGACUGAACAGGGCCGUGGGCCCCUUCUUCAUCUUGACGGUGCCUGGAAUGCUGGGUAGCGGUGAAGGAAAGAUGCUGACCCUCUAGGUUAAAAGUGACAUCUCUCUCCCUGUUCCAGAGACAGAGGCAGCUGCCACUGCCCCCUCCCCUGAGUGGCAGGAGGUACCCAAGAACAAGAGGACCGAUGAACAGAGGUCAGACCGAGCAUCAGGAUUUGCAGAAGUGUUGGGGUGGAGUGAUGAGGCUUGAGAUGCAGGAGGGUGGCGUGUUUAUUUAUACAAACCUUUCCCCCCACCCCCAAGGAACAGGCUGAACGCUUUUUGAGUCGCCAAACACUAAACCCCUUUCUUCCUCAGAGCUGUGCCCCUUCUGGAGCCCAGAAGCAGUUCUGUCCCCUCUUCCGGCCCCCAUCUCCAUCCCUGUCCACAUCUGGGUCUACAUUCCUGUCUAGAGCCACAGCAUCCCCGGCAGCAGCCGUGGCUGAGCCACAUCUGGGGCUCUGAUGGCCACAUCUGUUCUACCCCCUCUCAGGGCUGGUUAUUCCGUUCUCACUUUUAUCGUCAUCUGUGGAGUCUAGAGGGGAUCU